Long non-coding RNA from Ornithodoros turicata, 2107 nucleotides. RefSeq lists it as uncharacterized. Lineage: Eukaryota; Metazoa; Arthropoda; Arachnida; Ixodida; Argasidae. The record is from RefSeq and is a predicted model, not a curated record. The transcript is spliced from 5 exons.
GGUUGUUAACUGUGCUGGUCGCUUGUGUCAUUUGCUCCUGCUAGGACUAAAAUAUUUGUAUGGUGUUUCAGAAAUGGAAAGAAAUCCUCUCUAAAGCCUUGUCCUCGGUAUUUAAGACCCAGUGAGAGAGACGCUUGUCAUCGCGGGCGCAUCCUCCUUUGGCCUCGGAACUGUGCUGCGACAACCAAGACCUCGGAAAGUACAAAGUCGCCACCUACGCGGCCACAGUACCCCCCGUUAUGCUCAAAUAGAAAAGGAGGGUCUGCCGCUGGUCUUUGAGAGUGAAAAGUUCAGCGACUACCACUACCAGAAAAAAUUCUUCUCGAGACUGACCACAAGGCUCUAGUGAGUCUGUUCUCAACAACACAGCUUGAUGACUUUUAGCCAAUAUUGCAGCGGAUGCGUUUUAUGGGAUACAGGCACCCACGAGAUAAAGUACGAGGGUCGGACUGAGUAAUUUUGUCUUUUUCUUCUUUUUUUGCGAACGUACCUGUAACAGCAGACGAAGGAGACUGCAUUGGUAGGUGGGUAGCGACAGCUGCUCCAUUGCCCUGUUGUGACCACUGGCACUCCUCCUAGCAACAUGGCCGUCAACGAUAUGUCGUUUCAUCGUUUGCCGUUGCUAUCAUCAAAUUUAUCGUAGUCACUGAUGCAGAAAUUCGCCACACACUUGAAUGCUUAUGGCAGUGUGUGCAUGGGUGAUAGCAGUGUCGGGACGUGCGCUAAACGUCAAACAUAUGGGAACACCAGCAUCGAAAAUCAGCUUCCGUGAGUGGUCACCCUCGGACAGCUUCAACUCAAUAGCAAAGAAAGAGUGGAUGCGAUUACUCAAGCAGACAGGAGUGUGACUGUGUACAUUAUAGCCGGAACACUUGGAAUAAGGCCCAACGCAGUGCAAGCGAUGAUGGUACAGGAAAGUUUGUGCUCGGUGAGUCCCGCGCUUAUUGACCGAAGACAACAAAAGUCAGCGAAAAGCCAUCACCUCAGCAAUGCUGCAGCGAUAUCGGCACGAAGGCGCUGACAUUUUGCUUGGCAUUGUGACAGCUUGUGUCAUAAUUCAUCCACAAAUCUCCUUUCUGGAGCUCUAAAGGUAUCCGCACUAUUAUCAAGAUGAGAGGUUGAGCUACCAUCGGGAGAUCAUUUCUGCGCCUAUAGCAGAAGAACGGUGCCACAUCGGAGGAUUGCAGUCUGAGGUUCUCCACUCCUCCAUAUCGCUGGAUUUCUCGCCGAUCAUUUCUUCGCCUUCCAACCUCCGAAUAUGGACGCCUGAGUUCGACUCUCGGUGGAACUUUCUAUGUAAUGCCCUUGCUUCUCCAUACCCUUUGCCCUGCUGCCUGCUCGCUUCCUCGCCUGCUCCUUGCUUCCUCGUACCCUGACUGCUUUAUGGUUAUAAUCGCUCUUCUUAUAAUUUUCCUUCAAACUCAGCCAUCCUCGACAACCUCGACACUCUCCUCGAAACGCUGUUUCUAAUGCUAGCGCAUUAAAACAAGAGGUACCAAGUUUCUUCAUGAAGCAACAAGUAAAAAGUGUUGAUUGGUCGUUGAUGGAUCAGAUUCUCCAUCAAUCCUACAAAGAAGAAACAGUGAAAGUACCGAAAUGGGAUAUUUCUUUGCCCGUUUUAAUCUGCGCUGUCCUCUUUAAGUAGUCCAUGACACCUUAGCCCUAAAAGCGUUGAGUGUGAAUAAAACAAUUCUGCUCCGUCACGCUCCAUUUAAUGCGAAUUCGACUGGUGGUCUAGAGCAAGCACCGAAAUCGGCUAGAGAGCAGGAAAAUCCUAUACAUGCAGAGAGAAAAUUCGUAUUCACCACCGAGAAACAAUCGCGCUUCAGACACGACCGUAACGGAAGCCGUCGCCUAUACAUCCCGCAAGCUCGAGGGUCUACCCGACACUUGCUGUCGCUCGACAUUGAAGACGCGGAAGUUACGACAAUGUUUCGUAGAAGUUCUGGCAGAAUCCGGGCUUUCUCGGCGGAACAAGGAUGAGCAGACUCCGUCGCGACUACCUGAAACGACCAGUGAAGCACGCGAAUCCAAUCCGAACCGACCAGUGAAACACGCUUUCUCGGCCGUGGAGCAGAAAGAGCCACUCCAAAUCGACCAGUCGAAC